Non-coding RNA from Vicia faba (fava bean), 249 nucleotides. Lineage: Eukaryota; Viridiplantae; Streptophyta; Magnoliopsida; Fabales; Fabaceae. The record is from the annotation of a GenBank genome assembly.
AUGCGCCAACAACCGUGCGAAGACCUUUACGUGACGAACUUCCACGACGACCACACCUCCCCCGUCACCGUUGAAUUCGCGCCGCCCUCCAACUCCGGCGAGAUCCUCUGGCGCGUCUUCCGACGCUCACGAUCUCUUUCGUCGUCCAUUCAACAACCACUCAGCCGCAACUUUGGAGCAUUAGACAAGCAUGGAUCAAGCAAGGCAUUACUCAAAAGUCAAUUUUGGAGAUAUUUUGAUUUGGCAUAA